Apis dorsata (giant honeybee) is the source of this 1246-nucleotide long non-coding RNA. RefSeq lists it as uncharacterized. The record is from RefSeq and is a predicted model, not a curated record. The transcript has 4 exons. Lineage: Eukaryota; Metazoa; Arthropoda; Insecta; Hymenoptera; Apidae.
AACUAUCAUUUUUAAACCUUAACGUGAACUUUAAAACUUCAACUUUUAAAACAACCUAUCUAAUAUACCUAACCUACAAUUAUCCCAAAACUCUGUCGUCCCUCUAUAAACUAUCGUAAAUCUUUUAUAAACCCGUCGUCCUCUAUAAAUCUCGUCUAAACGUUGUGCAAACUAAAAUUGUCGAGAAAGAGAGAGACACUUAUUUCGAGCAUCGUUAUUAAUAACUCGAAACACCAUGCGAAAGCAUCCAUUCCCAGACGCUCUUCAAACAUGCAUUACACGGCGUGAAGUAGCGUAGUAACGAGAGACGUCAGACCGAGAGAAUGGUUUAUUUAAGCUGUGCACAAAUUGCACGUGUGCAUCCUCGAGGCUUUUUAUCCGGUGAAUGAGGAUGACGUAAAGGCCGGAGGGACAAAGGUGCACGAGGGGGGAAGAGUCGUGGCCGCGAAUAGGGAGUUUUGCAAGGUGAAGUGUCGCUCUGCGAAGUGUCAUGGCGCACUGGUCGAUAGAAUGCAACGUUUCUCCGCGCUCGCUCUUCUGUCCGCUUUCCUGUGAGUUUUAUAAGCAGAGACGAGGGCUUCUUUUCUUUCAAGUUUUCCAGUAUCGGGCUGUUUUAUCAAUUCUACCGAAGUUGGAUUUGGACAUUCUUCGCUUGUUCCAGGCUCGAAUUUUUCUGUAUUGAAUGUGAAACUUUCUGCGAUUUCUCUUCUGGUUUCGAAGUUAGUUUCAAAAAAUAUAUCUUGAUUAAACAGCCUUGAUCCGCAACCAACGACCCAGUUCCAUCGUGAGCCGAGUUUAAUCCUUUCUAUUCGUUCACGAGGAAACGCAACACCGUUUACUACGAUUAAUCGUUCGAGAAGAUCUCGUUACACCGAUUGAUGAAAGGCUUUGAUAAUCGAUACCCGUUCAAUUAUUUAAGCGACCACUAUUUCCACAACUGGAAUAGAAAGGAAAUAACAACGAGAAUCCACUUUCACCUACUUUUUUUCUAUUUUUGUGUUUCGUGCAUCGAUACCAUUACCACGGAUUCAUUAGUGUUUUUCAUCGGUUGUUUCCACUCGCUUGUUCCGUAGUAAAGGGAAGAUGAUUAAUAUCCUUUCAUGAUAUAUUUUAAAAGUCGACUUCCUAUUACGUAUUUAUCAAUCUUGAAUACGGCAAUUUUAAUAUACGGAGUGGGUUGUGUAAUACGAUUAUCUGAAUUAUUUUUUUUCAGAUAAUAAAAUUAUAUUAUAUUUUAAUUUUAAUA